UAAAAAGUUUAACAUUUAAGUGUGAAUUGUAGUUAAAGUGAAAUGAUGUCAAAUGAGUGGCUUUCUUGAAUUAUUCCCCUUGUACUUGAAACUAUGUUGGAUGUCCUUGCUUGAAUGGCAUGAUGGCACCUGGUAUCUUGUUUUUGGUUUGCACAUGGUUGGUAACAUGGUGUAAGGGAGCAAGUCAUGCAUAGAACCAAGCAUGGUUUGGAAUUUUUGAAGCCUUCUUGUACAUGAAAAAAUAUGAAGGUCAAGAUGAAGAGGCAAUGGGUGGAAUUGAAGACCGAAGAGAAUUAGUCUUAGGAUUAGUUUUAUUUUAGAAGUGAAGGUCAAUGGUCAAGGUCUAUGGUCAACUGUUGACCAAAAGUCAACAGUUUAUCCAAAAAGUCAACUAUUCUAAAAUGUAAUUUUUUCUCUCUUUUUGUAAUCUUUUGUAAUUGCACUUUUUAGCCUUGUAAUGACUAAAAUGACUUGUGAUCCAAGUGAUUUGAAUGAAAAUAACAACUUUCCUCCUUUUUCAAUUUGAAA
Molecule: long non-coding RNA, 528 nt
Organism: Vicia villosa (hairy vetch)
Lineage: Eukaryota; Viridiplantae; Streptophyta; Magnoliopsida; Fabales; Fabaceae
Exons: 2
Source: RefSeq, a predicted model, not a curated record